GAUGAACGCUGGCGGCGUGCCUAAUACAUGCAAGUCGAGCGAACAGACGAGGAGCUUACUCCUCUGACGUUAGCGGCGGACGGGUGAGUAACACGUGGAUAACCUACCUAUAAGACUGGGAUAACUUCGGGAAACCGGAGCUAAUACCGGAUAACAUGUUGAACCGCAUGGUUCAACAGUGAAAGACGGUCUUGCUGUCACUUAUAGAUGGAUCCGCGUCGCAUUAGCUAGUUGGUAAGGUAACGGCUUACCAAGGCAACGAUGCGUAGCCGACCUGAGAGGGUGAUCGGCCACACUGGAACUGAGACACGGUCCAGACUCCUACGGGAGGCAGCAGUAGGGAAUCUUCCGCAAUGGGCGAAAGCCUGACGGAGCAACGCCGCGUGAGUGAAGAAGGUCUUCGGAUCGUAAAACUCUGUUAUUAGGGAAGAACAAAUGUGUAAGUAACUAUGCACGUCCUGACGGUACCUAAUCAGAAAGCCACGGCUAACUACGUG
This 497-nucleotide ribosomal RNA is filed under the name uncultured bacterium. RNAcentral's name for it is "partial 16S ribosomal RNA". It matches the Rfam family "Bacterial small subunit ribosomal RNA", at positions 28 to 507 of the family's 1533-position model. The record is from RNAcentral.